Molecule: transfer RNA, 72 nt
Filed under: Candidatus Moranbacteria bacterium CG08_land_8_20_14_0_20_34_16
Lineage: Bacteria; Candidatus Moraniibacteriota
Description: tRNA-Arg
Rfam family: tRNA
About the family: Transfer RNA (tRNA) molecules are approximately 80 nucleotides in length.
Source: RNAcentral
GUCCCCAUAGUUCAACGGAUAGAACAAAGGACUCCUAAGCCUUAAAUGCAGGUUCAAUUCCUGCUGGGGACA